RNAcentral lists this unclassified non-coding RNA (213 nucleotides) under soil metagenome. Its description in RNAcentral is "partial internal transcribed spacer 1". The record is from RNAcentral.
ACCUUUCAAAUCAGGGUGCGGCGCGGCCCCCGAGGAGCGGAAACAAUCCUUGGGAGGUAUGCGGGGGCUUCGAGCCCCCCAUUUACGCACGCACGACUGCCAUCCUUACUUUACGAGCACCCUCUGUUCUCCCUCGGCGGGGCAACCUGCCGUUGGAACCGAAUAAACUCUUUUUGCAUCUAGCAUUACCUGUUCCGAAACAAACAAUCGUUA